Molecule: transfer RNA, 72 nt
Filed under: Bos taurus (domestic cattle)
Lineage: Eukaryota; Metazoa; Chordata; Mammalia; Artiodactyla; Bovidae
Also listed under: 5 other names
Rfam family: tRNA
About the family: Transfer RNA (tRNA) molecules are approximately 80 nucleotides in length. Their secondary structure includes four short double-helical elements and three loops (D, anti-codon, and T loops).
Source: Rfam by way of RNAcentral
UUCCCUGUAGCUCAGAUGGUAAAGAAUCUGCCUGCAAUGCAGGAGAUCCAGGUUUGAUCCCUGGGUGGGGAA